RNAcentral lists this non-coding RNA (26 nucleotides) under Mus musculus (house mouse). Lineage: Eukaryota; Metazoa; Chordata; Mammalia; Rodentia; Muridae. The record is from RNAcentral.
UGCGAGAGACUGCUGGGGACAGGCAU